AUUUAUACCACCCUGAACACGCCUGAUCUCGUCUGAUCUCAGAAGCUAAGCAGGGCCGGGCCUGGUUAGUACUUGGAUGGGAGACCUCCAAAAUCUUGACUGUAGUUC
Ribosomal RNA from Ursus maritimus (polar bear), 108 nucleotides. The record is from Ensembl. Lineage: Eukaryota; Metazoa; Chordata; Mammalia; Carnivora; Ursidae.